GAGGGUAUAGCUCAAGUGGUAGAGCACAUGCCUCGCAUGCCUGAGGUCCUGGGUUCAAGCCCCAGUGCCUCCC
Molecule: transfer RNA, 73 nt
Filed under: Camelus bactrianus (Bactrian camel)
Lineage: Eukaryota; Metazoa; Chordata; Mammalia; Artiodactyla; Camelidae
Also listed under: 2 other names
Rfam family: tRNA
About the family: Transfer RNA (tRNA) molecules are approximately 80 nucleotides in length. Their secondary structure includes four short double-helical elements and three loops (D, anti-codon, and T loops).
Source: Rfam by way of RNAcentral